CACCGCGGUCAUACGAUUAACCCAAACUAAUUAUUUUCGGCGUAAAACGUGCCAACUAUAAAUCUCACAAUAGAAUUAAAACCCAACUUAUAUGUGAAAAUUCAUUGUUAGGACUAAAGACCGAUAACGAAAGUAAUUCUAAUCAUUUAUAUAACGCACGAUAGCUAAGAUC
Molecule: ribosomal RNA, 172 nt
Filed under: Rattus rattus (black rat)
Lineage: Eukaryota; Metazoa; Chordata; Mammalia; Rodentia; Muridae
Description: partial 12S rRNA
Source: RNAcentral